GAUGAACGCUGGCGGCGUGCCUAAUACAUGCAAGUCGAGCGAACAGACGAGGAGCUUGCUCCUCUGACGUUAGCGGCGGACGGGUGAGUAACACGUGGAUAACCUACCUAUAAGACUGGGAUAACUUCGGGAAACCGGAGCUAGUACCGGAUAAUAUAUUGAACCGCAUGGUUCAAUAGUGAAAGACGGUUUUGCUGUCACUUAUAGAUGGAUCCGCGCCGCAUUAGCUAGUUGGUAAGGUAACGGCUUACCAAGGCAACGAUGCGUAGCCGACCUGAGAGGGGGAUCACCCCCCCGGGAAUGAGGACCCGUCCCAAAACCCGAGGGGUGGAAGCGGUGGGGAUUCUUCCGGAAGGGGCAAAAGCCUGACGGGGAAACCCGGCGGUAGGGAUGAAGGUCUUCGGAUCGUAAACCCCUUUUAUUAGGGAAGAAAAAAUGUGUAAUAAACGGUGACCGUUUGGCAGGAACCGAAUCAGAAAGCCCCGGCAAACUGGGG
RNAcentral lists this ribosomal RNA (496 nucleotides) under uncultured bacterium. Its description in RNAcentral is "partial 16S ribosomal RNA". It matches the Rfam family "Bacterial small subunit ribosomal RNA", at positions 28 to 506 of the family's 1533-position model. The record is from RNAcentral.